Molecule: long non-coding RNA, 3355 nt
Filed under: Sinocyclocheilus grahami
Lineage: Eukaryota; Metazoa; Chordata; Actinopteri; Cypriniformes; Cyprinidae
Description: lncRNA (ENSSGRG00000036887.1)
Source: RNAcentral
AGAGAGAGAGGAAGAGUGUUUUUGUGUGUCCUGAGAGAGAGAGAGCGAGAGCGAGAGAGAUGGCAAGGGAGGGAGAAAAUGAAAUGUAAGACAGAUACGGAGAGGGAAAGAGAAGAAGGGGGUGUGGAGAGCAAGCUAGCGAGUGUAGAGAGCCAGUAACGCGGUGCAUUGAUGCAUUGCUGCGUCUCAGGCGUGCUCUUUCGGCAGGACAUAGCCCAGGGUUUUUGGCUGCGGCAGGCUGCCUGUUUUCCAGCAUCCAAUUGAGCCAGACCUGGAAUAGGGAUAUACGUGUGAACGGAGUUGCCGCGGAUGAGCAGUGCUGGACGAGUGAGGUGGCGAGUCUCUGUGCUGUGUGUGCGUGUGUGUUCACCCCCUCUUCUCCUGAGAUCCAGCAGACUGGCAUGAUUUGCUGGUGGUGUGGCCCUGGCUGCUGCUCGGACUGUCUCUCAUCCUCAGUGCCAUCACACCACCCUUCGGCUUUUUCUCAUCGACACACUCUCCACCUCUGCGGCUUUUGUCGCCAAGCUGUAAUAUGGACGUACGGACCUUUGCUUUAAUAUUACCAUCCAUCCAUCUCCUCUCCUGUCCACCUCUCCUCUCUUUCAUUCUUCCUCUUUCGUUUCACAAGAACAGCCUUCCAGUCAACAUGACUGUAUGACUCCCUUUUUCUAGCCUAUCAAAUCUGCAUGAUUUUGUCAGCAGGUCUAGCAACAAAAGUUGAAAUCUGAGAUUUCUCUCUCUUACUUUCUCUCACCCACUUUCUUUGUUGAGCAGGCUAUGAGAGAACUGUGAUCGGCUUCAUCCUCAUCCUCGCACCAGGCUCAGGAAUGCACGGAUAGGUCAGCCCUCUCAUCCUCUGUCCCGGACUAUCCGUGGAGCUCACCGAGCAGAACAGUAUUCCUUUCACUGCACUCAGCAGGUAAACGCACACGGACAGAUGUCCAUUGGAGCGAGACUUCCCAGCAGUCUCAGGCGGGCGGAGCGAGGGGCGUUACUGCUCCGUGAGCGAGAUGAUGCGAGCACCAUUGCUACCUGUUUCGAAAACAAGAAGAAAAGAGGGGGGAAGAGAGAGGCAGGGCACAAGGACAAAGCUGGGAGCGGAGCAGCAGAACACAGUGUCUGUUGUAUAUGGGUGCAGGCUUGGCACAAACAGUGGCUUUUCUGUAAAACUAUCCCAUUCCUCCCAGGCCUCUGACUGGGCUCUCAAUACUGCCUUUGUCCUUUAACAUCACCAGUGACAUUGAGAAGCCAAAUCUAGCAACACCUGCCCCCUCGCAGCCUCUCUAGCACACUCAGUCCGAUGCACAGCCCAGGUUCAUGCCGAAAAGGACGUAUGGAGUUUAUUUUGUUAACUAGCUGCGAUAUGGGAAUGGGAUCAGCUCUGAAAAGUGAUGUUUUUCCCUGAAAAAGAGUCCCAAAUCUCGUUUUCCUUAAACUUUGCUGUCUCAUCUUUAAAGGCAGGAUAUGCUGCAUAAUUGAUGAGUGACUCUUUUUAAAUCUAUUAAAAGAAAUGAUUCCAGUAUUUAUAGGGAGUCCCAGUCCAAAUCAAAUAUUCGAUGCCGUCAUAAGGUUGCUCGCUGAGACACUUUGCAGUUCGGCUGAAAGUAUACUUGCAUAUUGAAUGUCUUGUGUCCUUCAUGCUAUGUUAUGAAUAAAAGUUUUUCACAGAAAAGUCGCAGAAGACCAAGGACAAACUAAAUUCAAUUAUAUUUUAUCAGUGACGCUUUUCACAACAAAAUUUUUUAAAUGGUCUUUACGGAGUGCCAAGAAUGUAUUAAAGUCCAAGGUUGCUUGGAAGAAAAAAAAUUUUAAAUAAUAAGAAAAUUAAAUCUCUUUUUUUUUUUUGUACACGGAAGAAUGGCACAAGGGAAUACAUACCUUUACUUCAGUUAAAAGGGCUAUUUUUCCAAUAAAUAGCUGAGGAAAUUCAAUGGAAUAUGGUGUAGUGCCAGAUGUUCAGCAUUUCUGAAACUGUUGCAUCAGUCUCUGCAUGUAACAUAUUUAGGGAAUGCUUAUACUCUUGAUCUCAAUAUAAUGGAGGAAAAAUUGGAACACAGUCUGAAUGUUUCUUGGAAUAAAACUGUAUUUUCCCUGAUUAACAUGUUAAUUUGGUCUAAUAGCCUAAUAAAUUGCAGUGCAAAUGCAGUGCGAAUGUAAAGAAUUUCUGAUUGGAAAUCUUUUAUGAAAAUGUUCAGACUAGAAUGGCUGUAGGAGGAAAGGGGAGAGUUAACCGCUGUUUUUGCUGUGCAAUCCGAUCUGUUGAACACGGAGGGGAGGAAAGAUAAAAGGAAACAGAAGCGCUGUUGCAGUCUGUCUACAGGAAGAGCCUGAUUAGAGGUGAGCCUGCAGCAGGCACAUUGGCUGAGGAACCAGCCAAUCACGAGGGCAGCCAGGGAGGGCAAAGUCCUUUGCCUGUGGCAAAACAUCUCUGUGUGUCACUUCACUCUUGUUGAACACAAUGUGUCCAGUAUCAACCAAAUACCUAAUUACAAUAUGAAUUCACCUCAUGUAAUUCAUGUUACAUGUAACACGUACUUUGAACAUUUCAGGUCACGUACUCUCAGCGCAUGUAUUAUUAAUGGAUUUAAUGGCUUACUGGUGUUUCUUGUAAUAUGCAUGCUCAUGAACAUUAAUAAAGCAAAUACACAUGUUUAGGAAUGUACUUGAACUCUGAAGGAAUUAAAGACACAAUGGUCCCUGUAUAUCAUGCAGUUUUGACAGGGCUUGCAGACAUUAUAAAUAUAUAGUUCAUUCAUGAAACUCUAGAUGGUGCAGGCGACGGGUUGUUAACAUAACCGAUGAUAUUCAGAGAGUUAAACGACUUGGCACAUGCAUAUGCAGCCAAUGAGCUUACUGCCUUGCAUUUAUAUGGCUGGCUAGCAUUCACUAGAGAUUCCUGCACCACGCUUUCAGAGUUUCUAUGACACCCUCCACCUUCCCCAGCUCCACCUGUAUAGAUCUGCUACGGGUUAUUUUAUAUGCUAUUUGUGCAGUAGCAGUAUGUCUUAAAUACUCAUGGCUCUGUAUCGCCAUAUGCAUUGGCAGUAGCAAGUUCCUGUACUCGCUUGCAGCAGCAGCAAUAAUCUACAACUACAGCAAUAACCAACAGCAGCAGCAAUUCAGCAGCAGCGUAGCAGAUCUAUUCCGCCAAGACCAAAUACAUUAACAUUGUCAUAUCCAUCAUCACCAUGCUAAAAUCUUCCGAGAGUUGUCAUGAUUGAAUUAGGUCUUUAUGAGUGUUUCUUCAACUAUGGGCACACAUCCCAGGAGUUGAUUUUCAAUAACAGCUUUAUUUAUUUAUUUAUUUGUAAUUUUAAGUUCACAUUAAAAUCUUUGAUACUUUUUUAUACCAUGC